RNAcentral lists this long non-coding RNA (325 nucleotides) under Elaeis guineensis (African oil palm). RNAcentral describes it as "long non-coding RNA (EGUI_LNC001200)". The record is from RNAcentral. Lineage: Eukaryota; Viridiplantae; Streptophyta; Magnoliopsida; Arecales; Arecaceae.
UCGCGCAUUUGAGAAUAUAGAUUAGAGCCCCUAGCUUGCUCUCUUGAAAGCUCAACUGCAAGCUUUAGAGUUCAUCCAUACAAUUGCCUCUAAGUAGUUCUUGAUAGUCUGGGAAAAAUGGAAUUCUCUUUUUGCGCUCUUUGCGCAUUCUAAUCUGAUUUAUAUCAUCAGGGAACCAACACCUCUUAGUUCCUCAAAAUCAACUAUGAUGGCAUUUGUUGGAUGAUGAAGCCCAUGGUGAGGCUAGGCUUGUUAUUUGCAAUCUUAGUUCUCUCCUAGUGGUCAUAGGGGGACGUCAUCUAUAUGACGUGGCGAUUCCAUCGGC